Molecule: long non-coding RNA, 14525 nt
Filed under: Zostera marina
Lineage: Eukaryota; Viridiplantae; Streptophyta; Magnoliopsida; Alismatales; Zosteraceae
Description: long non-coding RNA (ZMAR_LNC003451)
Source: RNAcentral
AUGCGUUGAUCGGUUUGAAAGGCUCCAGAUCAAUUGUCACUUUCUUUUCUUUGCCAUCAUCGGUCACAAUGGUACCGGUGUACAGAACCAAUCCGUUAGGGGGAACCCUGUUGUAGAGUUUCAGUCUCUGCUGUGCAGAGGUGAUGGCUCCAAGAACAGACUGCCGGUUGACUCUGCUCUUGAUAUUCGAAGCAGUACCAUAUUCAUCUCCUAACAUCUUUGUGACCCUGGAGACCUGAUCACGGGGAGGCAUAAUCAAUGAGAUCAUGCUUGUUCCGUUACCUCUUGCAGCCUCAAGAGCCUUGAUCAGUUUCUUGAUCUUCCAAAUCUCAAUGUUCUUGUCGGUUUCCUGACCGUCAGCCAUCUGUGAAGGUUCUGAGGAGAGAUCCUGUUAACAUUCAUAAUAUAUUGUGAAUUGAAUAUCUUUUAAAAAAAAAAAGAUAAAAGAACACGAUCCUUAACUCUUUUUAUGUUUCUUAUAUAGAGAUAGAACUUAUGACUUGGAAAUAAUUCAGAACAAAGAGUAUUUUAUAAUGUUAAAAAAUGAAGAUGAUGUUAUUGCAUUAAACAAAAUCAGUGCAAAAAGAAAAUCAAAACCUAAUAUUAAUGAAAAGUAUACAUUAUAUUUUAUAAACACAUGAACAGGUAUUAGGAAUCUGAAUUGAGUGCAGCGAAAUUUUCAUUACAGUUUAAAACAAAUAAGAUGUGGCUCUGGGUAUCAGAAUUAUUUUAACCCUCCCCCCCUAUUUCCUAUACUGAAUACUAAUGCUAAAAUAAAAAUGAGAAAACAUCGGACAACAACUAAAACAAUAGACAAAAAAAAAAUAUACAUCGUAAGUCAAUUGGGCAUAAAUAUUAUAAUAGCAAUCAAAACCAAGAAAAAAUGAUGAAAUCAAUUCAAAAUAAGAACUUGACAAAGAAAGAAAAAAUGGAAAAUGACAUUGACGAAUCUACAUGGGAGUUAAACAUAAACAGAUCAAGAAUUCAAGAUAGACGGACAUACCUAGAGCCUAAAGGCUAGAGAGUAGCGGAGACUGGACUCUGGAGAGUGGAGACGGACUGAAGGAGGUGAAAUCCGAUGGUGGUGGUGGCCUGUGGCACAAUAACUGAAUCCCGGUGGGCGGUGAGCGGUGGUCGGAACGUGAGAGCUUGACUGACUCUAAGAUGAUCUUGAGUUUUGGGGAGAAGGGGGAGAUUUGGAUUUUAGUUAGGGCUAAAUGAUAUAUUUUUUGCACUCUCACCCUUCAAUUUUAUUAUUAUACCACAAAAAAUGAUUGAAUAGUAACAUUUUUUAAACUGACGUCUGACACAAAACAUUGAACAUUCACAUUUUGAAUAAAUAUCUUCCGGACGUUUGGCCUUCUUCCCCAAUCGGACCAAUGCCGAAAAAGCUGAGGAAGAAGAAGCCUCCACCUUCUUCCACUGCGCCCGAUAACAAUCAACAAGAACUCAUUGUGCCCGGAGAGGUCGAGUUCCGCUGUUCAGAAGACGAUGCAUGGUACACAGUGUCGCUCCGGUUGGAGGAUGGGCAGUGUUUACGUGUAAGUUUCACAUAUUUCAAUGGCUCAACUGAUGAGAAUUUCACGGUGGAGGAGUUUGAGGACAUCGAUAAGCUGGAAAUAUUUCGGAGGAGGUUCAGGUUUUCAUCUGUUCAAUUGCAGGACUCGGAUUGUUGGAAAAUGAAGAAGGGAAUGAAGAUUUGCUGUAGCUGUAAUAUUGUUUCAACAGGUGCACUCAAGUUUUUUGAUGCGGUUGUUCGAUCUGUGAGUUUUUUUUUUCUUUCUUCAUCUCUAAAACCCUAAUUUUUUUCUUUCUUUCUGUUUUGAUUCAAACUUGGAUUUUUUUUUUGAAAAAUACAUGAAUUCCAAUGUUGUUUAUUUGAUGUAAAUUUCCAUUAGGUUCUUCGAUAUGACCAUGAAUUUCCAGAGAUUGAAGAAGAUGAAGAGGAAGUAUGUACAUGUGUAUUUAAAAUUCUGUGGCAAAAUGGGCCACAUUGUGGAAAUAUAACAUCCAGUAGAAUUGAGAACAUUUGCUUGAUCCAAGAACAAACAGAUAAUUUUCAUCCAGAUCUCACUUUGUUCUUAAACUUAGCAAGAGAGAAAAUUCUCUUAAGAACAUCUGCUAUUUCAGGUUUUUUUUUAUUGUCCUUUCUUUAUUUUUUUCUUUCAAGGUAUAUUGAUGAUCUAUAUAUCAUGAUUGUUCUUAAUCAGACAUUCUAACAUGGGCAGUGUUUUUCUGGCUUCGAUCUAGAUUACAUUUCUGAUAAACAGAUGGUUGAUACAUUUGAUAAAGAUACCGACUUAGUUAGUAUUAGCUUAUCAUCAGCAGUGACAGAUUCAUCUGAGACUUAUUAUUCAGUUUUCAUUGAGAAUUUAGAAAUGGAUACUUCCCCAAAGAAUAUAGUUGAUUUCGUGUUCAAACAAACGUCCGUGUGGUCUCAAGCACUGAUAUUUCCGUCUGCCUUUGCUGAUAUCUUCCAACGGGGUGUGAUUAUAGUGAAAACAGGGCAAAUGAUCAUGAAGAUAAUUAACUUCUUACAUGAUCCUUCGCAUACCAUCGUUUCUUCGAGGGGAAGGUAUUUUUUCGAGUUUAAUUGUCAUCAGUCAUAUUGUUUUUUUGAUCAUAUUUCAUUUUUGAUAGGCCAUGGAUCAUGCUUCAGAAGAGAUGGCAUUGCAACUCUCUUGGAAAUGUACUUCUGAAAAAUACCCUGGUAGAGUUAACCAAAACUCGCUUGAUUAAAAAAGAUGUUUCGAAAAUCUAAAUCCCUGUUUUUCUUCUUCUUGUAGCUGCAUCAUUUUUCACAGCCUCACUCAAACCCAGACGAUUUAACUGGAAUUAAGGUUGUUGAAGAAGGAAGUGCUGAAUUUGAGAGGGCAAAAGAUCUUACUGAUUUGUUCUUUGAGUUUUAUAAUCAUGUAAAUGCUCUCCAUGAAAGAUUUGGUAUAGAACAAAGGAAGUUGUUUGCUUCUUGAUACUCCAAUUUUUAGGUGAACUACAUACAUGGAUUCAGUGUUAUAUUGUUUUGCAAAUAUGUAUCCAUCUCAACUUUAAUUUGAAAUGAACUUGUCGUCUCAACAAAUAUUUUUUCGGACUAACUCAACUAAAUCUCCCCUCAUAUGUAUAUUGGGCGUACUGCAGGUGCAUCGUACAGUGUGAAUGUUAUAUAUGUCAUGUUGAUCAUGUUCAUUUGAUCGAUUUUGCGUCGUACAUGUGUUAGUAUAUUAUGCAGUAUAUUAUUUUGUAUCGUAUAUGUGUUAGCGUCUUAUGCAUUACAUUAUUUUAAUCAUUGGAUUAAAUACUAUUGGCUAAGAUUUAAUGGCCCACACACCAACACAACUGUUUUCUCUUAAUCUUGCUUCCAUCAUCAACCCCUCUAUAUUUAUCAAACUCUCAUGCAAUAUGUGCAAGUCUUGAAGAAUUAAAGACAAUGAAGUUAAAACCUCUCUAUAUUUGUCAAUUUGGUGUUCAAAUUCAAGUUAUAGCAAUUUUUCUUUCUUUAAUAAAACAUCCCUAACAUUUUCCCAUCAGACAAAAUUUGAUCACACUCUAUAGCUUGCCUUUGAUGCUAAUUCAAGCCAAACCAAUUGUUAGGCAACAUUAAUUCAUUAUUUAAUUAGAGAACUCCUAACUUCUAAUUCCUAAUUUAACCUGAAGAUUUGAUACCAUGAAGAUUUCGUAAACCCUAUGAUGUUGUCCAGAUGAACUAAUUAACGAUAGGAGGUAGGAGAAAAUGAGUGGCACACCAGAUUGGUCUUGAUAUAUAGAACCAAGGUUUUAGGGUUUAGUUUUAUUGAUAUGAACAAAAACAAAGAUAAAUAGAGAACAUAGUUCGAACAAAAUGUUGAAAGCAAAGCUAGGGUUCUUGAAGAACAAAUCGAGAGUAAGCAGAGAGACGAAAGAAUAGAAUAUGUCGUGAACAAUCUGUCGGCAGAAAGAACCAUUUAUACCUAAGGUUUAUGCUAAUGUGUGAUUAAAGUAAUCACAUGCUUCCACAUGCAAAUUAAAUAUAAGUAAAUAUAAGUAAAUAGCUAGUGUUGGUUACACGGAUCGUGGAUCGAACCACCCUCGGUCGGAUCGGGACGCACGACGGGCCGCAGAUUACGGGUCGGGUGGCGCCAAGGGCCCCUGUGCUGAAGGAGGCCUAGAGGGGGAACAAGAAAUCAAGUGUAAGCCUAUAAAUAUCUUCCAUGGUCCAACAAAGAAAGGGGUUGGAAAUAUUUGAGAAGAGAGACAAGUAUAAGAGAAGAGAGUUGUAUGUGUAUGUGCAUCCAUCUGUAAGCUCACACACCAUUAUGAUAAUAAUCAAUGUAUUGGAUUGAUUUGAAUCAGAAUAGAUUGGUUUGUUGAUGAAAUUAAAUAGUGACGGUCAAAACACAGAAUCCCACGUUUCAUAAUAUUGGAUAAGCAUUGAGGGAGAUAACAUGUUUCAAAAAUAAUAAUACAGUGUUUAGCUCAACUGGUCACGAUAAUUAUUAAGUUGCUGAGGGUUCAGGUUUUAGUCUCUCUGUUUACGUAAUUUUCAUAUAAUUUUUAUUAUGAUAUGAUCGGUGAUAUAUUAUAUAAUUUUGGUAUAUCAACUGAAGGUAAAUUUUUGUAUUUGUAGAAAGAUACCAUCGUUAUAAAAAAUAAUAAUAAAGAAAGAAAAGUUCUUAUAAGUCACUUUUAUAGUAAGCUAAAAAAACGUCAAAAAGACCUUAGCCAUUCAUUUUUUUUACUUUUUGAGAGAUAGAAUAUCAACCGUCUAAUCUCAUCUGUUCUCUUUUUUAAUAUAUAACAAUUAACAAAUAAUAUCUUUUUACAUUUUAAAAACAAGUCUAUUUUAAUUAAAGUACAUAUAUGAAAUAUCUCAUAAACAUCAUACAAUAGUAAUUACACGUAUUAUUCCAAUAUAAUUAAUUACUAGAUCGAUGAAUACUGUUCUUACCAAAUCAAAUAACACAACGAAUGACACCUAUUUACAUAAUUAAAUGAUUGAUGUAGAACAGUAGAAAUAUAAUCAAUGAAAAUUUGAUAAAAAUAAUUACACAACGAACGACGGAGAUCGCAGAUGGAUAAAAGUAAUUAGAAACCAAGUAAUUACAUGAUUGGUUAGAAGAAGGGAAUAAAGAUAUUAUUCCAAGAAUGUGUGGAAGAGCUCACUGACAAUGUUUUUUUGUCCAUGUCGCCAGAAGAAUCAUGAUCAAUUAGUCUUGGAACCAUGGAAUCCAAUACUCAACUUUGUCAAACCAAGCCUAAGAUGAUUGUUUCAAUCUGUAAAUAGAAAUUGGGUCACAUUCGUUCAUAAGAUUUUUAAUUGCUAAUGAGUUUCUUCUUCGUCUUAUUCCUCCGUUGUCUUCGUUCUGGGUUCCGUAGCUAUUGGGUUUAUUCUUCUUUUUAUUCCUCCGAUGUCUUCGUUCUGGGUUCCGGCAUCACUCCUAUAAAAGAUGGAUUGAAAUUUGCAAGUAAUGUAAAUUAAGAAACAUAAUUAGUUAUUUACUGACAAAAAAAUAUAAUUAAACUAACCAUAUUGGGCUGGAUCUGGGUCGGAUCCAGAUACAAACCAACCAGCCAACCCAGACCAUUUACAGCCCUAGUUAUAUUGUCAUUUGGCUAUUUAGUAAUUAAUCAGUAAUUUAAUCAUUUAUGCAUGUAUUUAAUUAUUAUUUUAGACAAUAGUAUAGGAUAUGAGUACAUGACCCUGAUGACCAAAACCUGAUUCUAGAUUAUAAAAAAUUACAUUGAUAGUGAUAAGUCCUUUUGAACUUUUUCAUCAUAAUCUAUGAGCCUUUUUAACCAUUGCAAACCUAAGUCACACCCGGCAGUGAUAGCAAUCUCAAACUGUUUUUUCGCCAGAUGAACUGACUCAUCCCAUGUCCUCGGUGUUUUAUUGCUUCCCAAUGCACGCACAACACCACCCCUACCCUUCUUGGUUUUGAAUUUAUUUAUUGCUUCUGGAACUUCAAAACCUAUAAAAGAUCAGUAAUGAGAAAAUAAAUAAUUCAAGGUUCAACCAAACAACACAUAUCAUGUUCAAGUAGUGUUAACCAUUUUUUUGAUAACAUUAAAAAAAUGGUUAACACUACUUGAACAUGACAUGAUACUUGAAUAAGUAGUGUUAACCAAUUACCAAGCCAGAUGACAAUUUUUUCAUCAAUAAGAUAUGAAACGGGCAAUGUAAUCCGCCAUACGGUAUAAGUGUAUAACUCAUUAACUCAGGUUUUAAUGACAGUCAGUGUAUAACUCAAUGAGACUGCUACUGUUGAACUUGAUGAGUUAACCUCUCCUGUGAUAUUGUCUAUAUUUAUGCUUCUGUUAUUAUGCCUUUUCUUUUGCUAAGCCUCCCCUAGAGGACCUGUUCUACUCUUGAGUAGGGCUGUCUGUGAAGGGAAUUACUUUUUCUGUCUAUAUUUGUAAAACUGGGCAAGGCGCCAAGGCCUUCAUGUCUAAUGAAAAUUUACCUUUAUAAAAAAAAAGGUGACAGCCAGUAUCUUUACCUUUUAAAAGAAGAGAUCCAUAUGCAAUAGCUGCUCCAGCAUGACCCUGCAGGUAACUUAUUCAGUUACAAAAAAAAGCAUAUGAUGAUAGGUGGUUUAUUCCCAUUUACCUUUUAUUAUAUAGAGUUAUGACUUAUGACCAGUGAAAUUGGGUAUUGUAUAAUAACGUAAUGCAACCGUUGAUCUGGACUGCAUACCUUUAUAAGGGAUAUACACCUCCAGAGAUAUAUGAGCACAUACCUCAAGAAAGAAAAUGUGACACAGAUCAACGGUUACACUAGAUUACACAAUACCAGGUUAUACUUAAUACUUCCCUAUUUAUAUAUGAUGAAAUAAAAAUAUCCAAUUCUGAUCAUGCAUUAAAUACAUUCAUUAAAAAGGAUUGGAACAUCACAAGAAUAAAAAAUAAUUAUAAAGACCAUAAUUUUUUAACUAAAAUCUAUAUAGUAUAUACUACAACCUUCAUCGAUGCUCUAUGAAAGCACCACAUUGCUGAUGCAAUAUCCUUCUCCACGCAAUCUCCAGUAAGAUAAACAGCACCAAGAAGAUAAAGAGCAUCCGGAUGUGACUAAAACAAGGAGAUGGCAGUGAAUGAACAUUCCUUUGAAGAUUUUCUAAUGAAAUAAUAUUUUUUACAUGCAAAAAUAGGAACCUGAUCGACGGCCUUUUUUAUGUAAUAGAAAGCUUCCUUUUCUGUGUAUGCAAUGUCAUCCUGUUGACAAAACAAGCUAAAACAAAUCAGGAAAAAAAUUAUCAAAAUGUUCAUUAUACUACAAAUAGAGAUAAACCAGAGAAAAAAGAUCUCAAGUCCAAAAAAUAAAUAUAUAUCGUAGUGUUAUCUAAAUAGUAUUUAGUAUCUCUAUUCACGAUUUUCCCACUCUUAAAAAAUAACAGAAGAUAUGUUUUUUCUAUAUCGUGUCAACAUAAUCUUCAAGUUGGUUACGAGUUAUGUACUUUUGAAGUUUCUAUCUUUUUUUUGGACAAUCCUAUUCUUCUGUUUAAUUAAUUGCUAUAAAAAGCAAGAAAACACAGAGUGUGUUUUAUUAUAGAACACAAGCGAUGUUUCAAAAAUGGAUCCACAUCGAACACGCUGAAAAAUAAUAAAAAAACUAAAUUUUGCAUGAUUAAGAGCAUUCCAAGAGAUACAACCUUGGUUCUUAAAUGCCGACCAACUUCAUAUUGAGCAUCUGCAUUUCCCAUUUCUGCAGCUUCAAGUAACAAUGCUGACCCGCUAUAAAGGAAAUGAAAGAGACAGAAAAUUACCAGUCAUAGAGUCUUAGCAAUCCCACAGGCAAAUGAAUUUUGAAAUAUUUUAACAAGAAAGGAAAGUUUUAGGCAGAGAUGCAGUCAUAGCUCAGCUUGAAAAAACAUGUAGAAGAAUGAAUAAUAGUAUGAAAUGUCAACUGUCACAAUGUAGUGAAAAAAUAAUUGAAGUCAAACAAAAUAGGCCUUUCUUAUUUUAGUUACUAUACAAAUAGAUAGAACCCAAUUCAAUGAAUCUCAGGCUCAGAAAAUUGGAACCGUCUUAGUAAUAUAAUUUAACCUUUCAAACGAACCAACAAUAUAUAAUUACAUAUAUUGUAUUUGUAUAGUGAUAUGGUCUCUCAAGAAAUAAAAUUUGACUAAUCAUGCUAACUGAUUAGAUAAAAAAAGGCUGCAGGAGAACAGGACCAAUAACAAAAAAUGCAGAAUAAUGUGACCAACUGAUAACAUUAAAUGACAAUCUGAAAGACAACCUAUUUUGUAUCUCGUCCACAAAAAUCUAAAAAACGAGUCAAAUUUGAUUUCAUCACAUUAUGAAUUCAUUCUAAACAAAUACAUUAUACAAUGCAUAUACAUCUCACUCAGUUACUCUAAUCAUUAGAGUCUAAUGGACAUGGAACUCUGAUACGACAAAAAAUAGUGAAAUAGUGAAAUUUUCAACUUUUUAUAACUGUGUCAAUUUCACAAAAUAAAUAUGAAUAAGAACAUUUGAAGAACAAAGAACUCACACAGCUGGGCAGGAACCUGGAACAUGAGUAUCAUACUUAAAAUGCAACAUACCCAACCAGUAUCUUGCAUGAGUAUUUGAAUUAUCAACCUCCAAAGCCAACUCAAAAUUAUCCUUUGCUGUCUGUAGGAGGAUUGAUACUAAUCUUAUCAAAAAUUGGUUCAUUGAUCAAAUAUAUAAUCAACUAAACCAAGAAGCAAAAAAGUCCAAACAGAAUUCAAAGUACACAAUCUAUAAUUGAUAGUUUAUUAUUUGAUAAUAUAGAGGUAUUUAGAAAAACAUAUCAUAUUUUAUCUGAUCAAUCAUCUGAUACCAUAAGCAGGAUCAACCAACAAAAGUAAGCACCUAUGUAAGCCGUAAAAAUUUAAAAUACAUGAAUUAGGAAAUUUUCAGGUCAUACCCUGAGUUGGGGAAUUAGUCGGGGGUCGUUUCGUUCAGUAUGAUCGAUGACUCUAUCGACUUCCUGGAGGGCAUUCCAACCCUUCGCCACAAGUUCCAUGGCCUUUUUGUUCCUGCUGUGAAUCCAUCUCUAUACACAAAAAGGACAGUAUUUUUCCAGCAUUAGAUAAAUUCACUUUAUGGAACGGGUUGAAAUGAUUGUAAAUACCUGAUGUUGAUUGGAUAAAAGGAGCGUGUUUUUCCAAUGGGACGCGGAGUGGAGAAGGCCUCUUAACAUUUGUCACGGUCGUUUCCGUAAUUGAAAAAAGGGAUACAGAUCGAUUGCAGCUACGUAGGACCGCCGAAUCUCUGAUCAGGAGUAAAUGCAAUCAGCGACAGAUCUAGGAAUCGAUUGCACUUUUAACAAAAUCAGUGCUAAAAAAAUCAAAGCUUUAACAUCAAUGAAAACUGAAAAGUAUGCAUUAUAAUUUAUAAAUAACAUCACAUAAACAGGUAUUAGGAAUAAAUAUUAAGUGCAGCGAAAUUUUUAAUACAGUUUUUCAAAACAAUGAUAGGGUAUUAGAUUGGCAUCGGGUAUCAGAAUCAGUUUUCAAAACCUCCUAAUUCCUAAAAUGAAUAAUGAUCCUAAAAAACUGUUACUAUCUAACUAUAUAACUAGUUAUUAUAUAACUAAAGUUACUAGACUACAUAGUUAAUGGGAGAGAGUCAAUGAGCUUUUUUUUGCUCAUUUCUUUUUACUUCUGUUUCUAUUUCUAUACUCUAUUUUUUGUAAACUUGGCAUUAGCUUUACUUUAAUGAAAUUUAAUUGCUUCAAAAAAAAAAUCCUAAAAAAAUAAGAAUAUACUGGAUAGCCGAAACAAUAAAGUGAGAUGGGUAUAAUAACAAUCAAAACCAAAAAAUAUCGAUUAAAUCAAAUCAAAAUAAGAACUCGAAAAUGAAAAGAAAGAUGCAAAUUGGCAUUAUAAAUGGAUCCAAAUGGGGUGGGCUCAAGCCUACAUGUAGAUUUGUUUCUUCUUCUUCUUAGGAGUAUAAAUGUUCGGUUAUACUCCAAACUCAUUGCCCAUUAACAAGUAUAAAACAAAACAAAACAAAACAAAACAAAACAAAACAAAACAAAAAACAGAAAGAUAGAGGAACAAACCAAGAUCCAAGAUUUCUAAAAUUAAACGAUGAUAGAGAAGGAAGACCGGGAAGUGAUGGUGGUGGCCUGUGGAACAAUAACUGAAUCCCGGUGGGCGGUGAUCGGAACGUGAGAGCUUGACCGGCUGACCCUGAGAUGAUCGUGAGGUAGGAGGAUGAGAGAUUGGGGGAAUCGUGAGUUUUGGGGAGAAGGGUGAGAUUUGGAUUUUAGUUAGGGCUUUAAUUUAAUUGGAUAUUUUAUUAAAAAAACCCUCAAUUCCUCAAAGAUAAAAACUAUACAGGUCAUUUUUAAAAUAAUUUUUUUAGGGGGAGAAACUGAGAUGCUCGGCUGGGUUUAACAAUGUAAGUGAUGAUAUCCUCGCCUACUGGAGUGACCCAACAGGAACAUCAAACAGAGGUCUAUCGAGAGGAGUACUGAUAAAUUCUUGGGCUGCUUAAAACGGCCUGAAAACAUUCUCAGGUCCGUUCGACCUAAUCUUGGUAGAAAAAGGUUCAUAAAUAAUUAAAUGCACUCGAAACGUGCAUGAGGAAGUAGACAUUGUUAAACUAGUUGCAGUUAACUUUUAUUUCUAUAAUUUUAUACUCUGUUUAAACUUUAAUUUGUUAGAACUAUUUUAUUAAUGCAAAAAAAGAAGUAAAUAACGAUAUCACCCAUAAAAGUUGAAGGCAAUAGAUAUGUAUUUGAGAGUACAAAUAUUCUACACCAUCUUAAUAAAUAUAAGUUAUCUCAUCAAAUUCAGCAAGCAAAUUCCGCAUUGUGCAAACCAUGGUUUUCAAACAGUGAAAAUAAUUUCUCCCCAGUCUCCCAUCAUCUCCAUGAUUCAUACUGCAAUGCAAAAUAUAAUGAAACACUAUCAUACAUUCAUACACAUUUUCUUUGUAAGACCAAUUUUGCACAAAAAAACUGAUUAAUGAACUUACAUAUAUUUUCAAACGAUUGUGAGCAGCAAAUUUCGCAACGAACCAGAUAUCUCGGCGCAGCACCUCAAGUCCAGCGAAGCCUUUUCAAGACCUAGCGCCAUUAAAUCAUCAGUUGAUUGCUAUUCAUCUUCGUAGUCUUCAUCUGAAAUUUCGUCGAAUGUCCUCAUGUCAAGCUGGUAGCGGAGAAUGCCCCCAAUCCCUCCAAAUCCCCUGCAGAACUGUGAACCCUCUUGCGAUUUGUUGGUAACAAACUCAAGAGUGCAGCCAAACCGCCUGUAUUCCUCCGCAAACCACUCCAGCAGAGACACCUUCUCGCUGACUUCCAAGUCAGAAUUGGUGGACGAAUCCACAAAGUUCGCACGAUCAGCUUCCUGUUCUUUGUUCAUGUGCUUUACGACAACUUCCCCCGUGGUGCUAUUCUUCAUCGAAAAUCGAUUGAUGUCCAGGUUUUCCCACACUAUAAGGGUCUCGAUAGCACCCAUUUCAAGGGCCUUCAGCGUGUCGUCCACUCCAAAUACAUACUUCCCUGUGUCUUGGCUUAUCUCCUCAAAAUACUUUCCGAUCAAUCGCUUCUCCUGUAUGAACUUCACGUUUGAGAGAAUCUCCGCAGACAGUUCAAUAGCCUGGUUAAAACCAUUCUCCCCUCCAUAGGAGACAUCCACAACAUUAAGAAUCUUGGCUUGGAGACGCUGAUCAAACAGUUCGGAUUGGCUUAACUCGGUUUUGAAAUCGGCAGAUCCAGCUAAAAUCAAUCCAGAAACAUUUGGCUGACUGGUAGCGGGAUUGAUAUAGAACUGUGUGGCCAGUUCAGCAGUCUUCCUCACGUAGUUGUGACGCUUCUCCAUACGGAGACGGGCAAAACGAAGAGCCGACUGCCCUCCUCUUCCAUGCUUCUUCGGAAGAUCCACACUGAACUUAUGAAGUAUGUCACGGGUGUUCCCACUUAAAGUGCCAAACAAAGUCCCAUUACCAUCCAUCACUAUGAAUCCAAACUUAUCAUCAGAUUCCAGAAGCUCGUUUAGAGGUUCGGUAUGAAACUUGUUGUCACAAAGGUACAGCGAUGCGUUGAUCGGUUUGAAAGGCUCCAGAUCGAUUGUCACUUUCUUUUCUUUGCCAUCAUCGGUCACAAUGGUACCGGUGUACAGAACCAAUCCGUUAGGGGGAACCCUGUUGUAGAGUUUCAGUCUCUGCUGUGCAGAGGUGAUGGCUCCAAGAACGGACUGCCGGUUGACUCUGCUCUUGAUAUUCGAAGCAGUACCAUAUUCAUCUCCUAACAUCUUUGUGACCCUGGAGACCUGAUCACGGGGAGGCAUAAUCAAUGAGAUCAUGCUUGUUCCGUUACCUCUUGCAGCCUCAAGAGCCUUGAUCAGUUUCUUGAUCUUCCAAAUCUCAAUGUUCUUGUCGGUUUCCUGACCGUCAGCCAUCUGUGAAGGUUCUGAGGAGAGAUCCUGUCAGCAUUCAUAAUAUAUUGUGAAUUGAAUGUCUUCAAAAAAAAAUAAGAUAGAAGAAAAAAUUGAUCCUUAAUUAUUUUUAUGUUUCUCCCCUGCAGAAUGACUAGAAUAUAGAGAUGGAGCAUUAUUCAUUUAAAGAUAAACAGCUUCAUAAUUCAGAUAAAGAGUCUCUUAUGGUCUCUGGAGACUGGAGUUGAAAAAUCAAGAAAAUGUUAUAGUAUUUAAGUAUUAAACAUUAUUUUAUAUUCCUUUUCCAAAAAAUAAUAGGGUCGGGAGUUAGAUUAUUGGAGAGCUGAUUUAAAACAUGAUCAUGAAAAUCUGUUAUAAACGUAUAUCAAAAAAAAAUCAAUCUUUUAAUUUAUAAAUUCAGACAUGCUUGCUUAUUCGUUCAAAUAAACUUGUUUACUGAAAUAAUUAUCAAUCGAUAAACAUUUCUAAAUAAAUUAAAUAUCAUAUUCUGAUCGAAGAGUGAUCUGUGGAUCUCCACCAGGGCUGGUGGGAGCUCAGACCCUUAUCAGGUUUUGAUUUUUCUUCUUCUUGGGAGUAUAGACGUUCAAUUAUGCUCCAUACUCACUACCAAUUAACAAGUAUAAAACAUUAAAAAAAACAGAAAGAUAGAGGAACAAACCAAGAUCUCUAAAACUAUACGACGAUAUCGGAGGAAGACCGGAAUGUGAUAUCGGUGAUGAAGAUAACGUCUGAAAUGCAAAGAGACGUCAGCGAUUAGAUGAAAUCGACGAUCAGGAGAACGGCAGAAUAAACAAAGAAUACACGAAAUUGAUAUGCUAGGACACAAGUGCACGCAACUAUACAAGGACUGACUGGACCGUCGAGUAUUUUGUUUUAGAUUUCUUUUAUUGGGAUUUUAUCGUUUAUAUCCGCCGUAGUUCAAUUUUUUUGUUUAAAAAAAUCAUAUGGAAUGAUGAAAAAUCAUGUUUUUUCAGGUUGAUGAUAGUUCAAUAUUUUCAAAUGAUUCAUUUUCCUAGGUUAAAGCUAGGUUAAACACAAACGGAUCAAGAUUCAAGAUAAACGGACAUACCUAGAGCCUAAAGGCUAGAGAGUAGCGGAGAGUGGAGACGGACUGAAGGCAGUGAAAUCCGAUGGUGGUGGUGGCCUAUGGCACAAUAACUCAAUCCCGGUGGGCGGUGGUCGGAACGUGAGAGCUUGACCGGCUGACCCUGAGAUGAUCGUGAGGUGGGUGGGAGAAGAGAUUGGGGGAAAUCGUGAGUUUUGAGGAGAAGGGUGAGAUUUGGAUUUUAGUUAGAACUUUAUUUAAUUGGAUAUUUUAUUAAAAAAACCCUCAAAGAUUAUAAAAAAAAAAAAAAAAAACUAGAUGCAUUACCUUCUAGCAAAAUACUUUCCGAUCAAUCGCUUCUCCUGUAUGAACUUCACGUUUGAGAGAAUCUCCGCAGACAGUUCAAUAGCCUGGUUAAAACCAUUCUCCCCUCCAUAGGAGACAUCCACAACAUUAAGAAUCUUGGCUUGGAGACGCUGAUCAAACAGUUCGGAUUGGCUUAACUCGGUUUUGAAAUCGGCAGAUCCAGCUAAAAUCAAUCCAGAAACAUUUGGCUGACUGGUAGCGGGAUUGAUAUAGAACUGUGUGGCCAGUUCAGCAGUCUUCCUCACGUAGUUGUGACGCUUCUCCAUACGGAGACGGGCAAAACGAAGAGCCGACUGCCCUCCUCUUCCAUGCUUCUUCGGAAGAUCCACACUGAACUUAUGAAGUAUGUCACGGGUGUUCCCACUUAAAGUGCCAAACAAGGUCCCAUUACCAUCCAUCACUAUGAAUCCAAACUUAUCAUCAGAUUCCAGAAGCUCGUUUAGAGGUUCCGUAUGAAACUUGUUGUCACAAAGGUACAGCGAUGCGUUGAUCGGUUUGAAAGGCUCCAGAUCGAUUGUCACUUUCUUUUCUUUGCCAUCAUCGGUCACAAUGGUACCGGUGUACAGAACCAAUCCGUUAGGGGGAACCCUGUUGUAGAGUUUCAGUCUCUGUUGUGCAGAGGUGAUGGCUCCAAGAACGGACUGCCGGUUGACUCUGCUCUUGAUAUUCGAAGCAGUACCAUAUUCAUCUCCUAACAUCUUUGUGACCCUGGAGACCUGAUCACGGGGAGGCAUAAUCAAUGAGAUCAUGCUUGUUCCGUUACCUCUUGC